UAGACAUUCAAGUGAAACUCCCCACCAGAACGUCACUCAUCCAUUUGUUCAGCUACCACCACCCUCAACUCCUUCGCCUGUGGUUUCACAACCAGUUCCAAGACAACUUGUACAAGCCACCAAUACCAGCAUGUUUGUACGUGUUCUAACCCUCCUGGAAGACAUUAAGGAGACUCAGAGGAUCCACAGUCGAAUGCUACAGUCUCUCCUCAAACAACGUGAUGGACCAGUUGCUGCAGUAUUACCCGAGGGUGCUGUUUUUCCUCUCCGGACAGUCGCAGACGUGGAAGCACUGGAACAAAAACUGAUAGACCCUGUCUUCCUGAAAGAAGUGGUUGCUGUUGUGGCAGAGAUCGGAGGGAGCACUGUUGAUGAAGCCACCAGAAGAAUGAUGGCCUUCAUUAUGGACAAUGCUCUUUCCAGGCAAUAUAACUUCGUUGGGCGCCAUGGAAAGCGGGAAUUUCGAGGGCUUAAGAUUUUUGAAGUGCUAUAUGGCAGCUUGAAAAAAAAUGCUCUUACAAGCCAGAUUACCAGAAAAGAGGCAGAAAAGGCAGCAUCCAAGUGGUUUAUUGGUGCAAGAGAUAGAGGAGGAAAUCGCAUGGCAAGGGCACAGUGUCGCGUGCAGGAGAGGUAUACCUUAGUGACUCGGUUUAGAUAGACUGUGGAGAUUAAAUUAAUUACAAAUACUGUAUUAUUGAGGGAAAUUAUGUUUGGGUUUUUUAUGGGGGGGGGGGGCAUCAGCUCAUGUUGUUCUGGAGGGUGAUGGCUGCUGCCAGGAAUGACCACAUAUUUCUCUCUGGUUUGCAG
This is a long non-coding RNA of Astatotilapia calliptera (eastern happy), 807 nucleotides long. NCBI's taxonomy places the organism in Eukaryota, Metazoa, Chordata, Actinopteri, Cichliformes, Cichlidae. The record is from Ensembl.